This 207-nucleotide ribosomal RNA is filed under the name uncultured bacterium. Its description in RNAcentral is "partial 16S ribosomal RNA". It matches the Rfam family "Bacterial small subunit ribosomal RNA", at positions 568 to 774 of the family's 1533-position model. The record is from RNAcentral.
AGCGUAGACGGCGAAGCAAGUCUGAAGUGAAAGCCCGGGGCUCAACCGCGGGACUGCUUUGGAAACUGUUUUGCUAGAGUGCUGGAGAGGUAAGUGGAAUUCCUAGUGUAGCGGUGAAAUGCGUAGAUAUUAGGAGGAACACCAGUGGCGAAGGCGGCUUACUGGACAGUAACUGACGUUGAGGCUCGAAAGCGUGGGGAGCAAACA